GACGAACGCUGGCGGCGUGCCUAAUACAUGCAAGUAGAACGCUGAAGGAGGAGCUUGCUUCUCCGGAUGAGUUGCGAACGGGUGAGUAACGCGUAGGUAACCUGCCUGGUAGCGGGGGAUAACUAUUGGAAACGAUAGCUAAUACCGCAUAACAGUAGAUGUUGCAUGACAUUUGCUUAAAAGGUGCAAUUGCAUCACUACCAGAUGGACCUGCGUUGUAUUAGCUAGUUGGUGAGGUAACGGCUCACCAAGGCGACGAUACAUAGCCGACCUGAGAGGGUGAUCGGCCACACUGGGACUGAGACACGGCCCAGACUCCUACGGGAGGCAGCAGUAGGGAAUCUUCGGCAAUGGACGGAAGUCUGACCGAGCAACGCCGCGUGAGUGAAGAAGGUUUUCGGAUCGUAAAGCUCUGUUGUAAGAGAAGAACGAGUAUGAGAGUGGAAAGUUCACACUGUGACGGUAUCUUACCAGAAAGGGACGGCUAACUACGUG
RNAcentral lists this ribosomal RNA (495 nucleotides) under uncultured bacterium. RNAcentral describes it as "partial 16S ribosomal RNA". It matches the Rfam family "Bacterial small subunit ribosomal RNA", at positions 28 to 507 of the family's 1533-position model. The record is from RNAcentral.